AAAAACACAAGAUAUUCAUUUCUCCCACCAGUAUGGGAGAACUUGACAUUCUUAAGUGAACCUCUAUUUUCUCUCCAAUUUAUUCCCUCAAUUUUCCAUUUACACAUCAACUUAGAACCCAAAAACUAACAAGAGGACUUAAAAAGAAAUUAAAAAUAGGCAUCUAAAAAGAAAAAGGCCAACAAUACUCUUUAACCCCCUCCCCCUCCCACUCUCUCUCUCUUUCAUGCCAUCUUUAAGCCCUUUUCUAUUUUUAUUCUCUCCAUCUUCAUUUUUUCUUUAUUUUUAUUAAUUACAACCACUCCUCCCUUUCUAUGGUUGAUGGAAAAAUAAUUUUUCAUGGUAGUUUUCAGAGAGAAAAACAAAAAAGAUUGAGGGGUGGACUCAAUGCUGGUUGAAAUUUUUUUCGAUGAGACUUUUGAAAUUGAUCUUAUUGAUCUCACCUUCAAAAUCAUCAAGUUGAGCAUCAAAUUUUUAAUUUAUUUUGUAUUUCUGUUCUUUCUCUAUAAAAGUUUGUGUGUUUUGCUCAAAAUUCAAUCUUUUAAUACAUUUUUGUAGAUCUAUCUUCUCUAUUUAAAAAUCAUCUUUUGAUUUUACUCAAAAUCAAUAAUAGAAUAUUGAAAUUGCUCAAAAUCUAUUUUGGUAUUUGAUGAUGGGUAACACAAUUAGGUGAUGAUCGUGUCGCAAAUUUUGAUAUUGGAUAGCAAAGACGAUUAAAUUGGAUGAAGUUAUUGCUUGAUUGUGUUGAUUUUAUAUCAAUAAUAGAAGAGAAGAAGAAGAAGAUGAUGAUGAUGGUGAUAAUGGUGAUGACAUUAUGGUGGUUCUUCUUUAGAACCACCAUGGAAAUUCAGCUUCAGGUGAAAAAAAAGAUAAAAAGAUGAAGGCAAAAAUGGUUGAAAAAAAGUGAAAAAGUUCAAGUAUAUUUGUGGCUUGGACUUAUCUGGUUGGCGGGUGUAAAUCACGUACGGGUAUGCGACUGGCUUUGAUUAUUUGAGGGGGCUAUUAAAUUUAAUUUUAAUAAGAACAUGUGUGUAAUAGGUCGUCACAUUAGUUUAGGUGUGGAAUUGACUUUUCGAUUAUAGUUUAAGGUGGUUGUGAUGGAUUUUUUCAUUUAAAAACAACUUUUUUGAUAUUCAGUUAUUAAAAAUACUAUAUCAUUACCAUACCAUAUCAAUUUGAUAUGGUUCGGUAUCUUGAAUUUUGAUUAUGUAUUUUACGGUAUAAUAUUCGAC
RNAcentral lists this long non-coding RNA (1232 nucleotides) under Capsicum annuum. RNAcentral describes it as "long non-coding RNA (CANN_LNC011721)". Lineage: Eukaryota; Viridiplantae; Streptophyta; Magnoliopsida; Solanales; Solanaceae. The record is from RNAcentral.